Molecule: ribosomal RNA, 468 nt
Filed under: uncultured bacterium
Lineage: Bacteria
Description: partial 16S ribosomal RNA
Rfam family: Bacterial small subunit ribosomal RNA
Source: RNAcentral
GAUGAACGCUGGCGGCGUGCUUAACACAUGCAAGUCGAACGGUGAAGGCGGAGCUUGCUCUGCUGGAUCAGUGGCGAACGGGUGAGUAGCACGUGAGCAAUCUGCCCCUGACUCUGGGAUAAGCGCUGGAAACGGCGUCUAAUACUGGAUACGAGCUGCGAAGGCAUCUUCAGCAGCUGGAAAGAAUUUCGGUCAGGGAUGAGCUCGCGGCCUAUCAGCUUGUUGGUGAGGUAAUGGCUCACCAAGGCGUCGACGGGUAGCCGGCCUGAGAGGGUGACCGGCCACACUGGGACUGAGACACGGCCCAGACUCCUACGGGAGGCAGCAGUGGGGAAUACUGCACAAUGGGCGAAAGCCUGAUGCAGCAACGCCGCGUGAGGGACGACGGCCUUCGGGUUGUAAACCUCUUUUAGCAGGGAAGAAGCGAAAGUGACGGUACCUGCAGAAAAAGCGCCGGCUAACUACGUG